AGCAUGCUAGUUGUGCGGGUUCAGACCCGCAGCGAAUAGCUCAGUAACACGUGGUCAAGCUACCCUACAGAGGAGGAUACCCUCGGGAAACUGAGGACAAUACUUCAUAAGGUUCCCACGCUGGAGUGCCGGGAACUGGAAACGUUCCGACGCUGUAGGAUGCGGCUGCGGUCGAUUAGGUAGACGGUGGGGUAACGGCCCACCGUGCCGAUAAUCGGUAUGGGUUGUGAGAGCAAGAGCCCAGAGACGGAAUCUGAGACAAGAUUCCGGGCCCUACGGGGCGCAGCAGGCGCGAAACCUUUACACUGCACGCAAGUGCGAUAAGGGGACUCCGAGUGCGAGGGCAUAUAGUCCUCGCUUUUCUGUACCGUAGGGCGGUACAGGAAUAAGAGCUGGGCAAGACCGGUGCCAGCCGCCGCGGUAAUACCGGCAGCUCGAGUGAUGACCGAUUUUAUUGGGCCUAAAGCGUCCGUAGCUGGCCAGACAAGUCUGUCGGGAAAUCCAUCUGCUCAACAGAUGGGCGUCCGGCGGAAACUCUCUGGCUCGGGACCGGAAGGCUCGAAGGGUACGUCUGGGGUAGGAGUGAAAUCCCGUAAUCCUGGACGGACCACCGAUGGCGAAAGCACUUCGAGAAGACGGAUCCGACAGUGAGGGACGAAAGCUAGGGUCUCGAACCGGAUUAGAUACCCGGGUAGUCCUAGCCGUAAACGAUGCUCGUUAGGUGUGGCACAGGCUACGAGCCUGUGCUGUGCCGUAGGGAAGCCGAGAAACGAGCCGCCUGGGAAGUACGUCCGCAAGGAUGAAACUUAA
RNAcentral lists this ribosomal RNA (810 nucleotides) under uncultured euryarchaeote. Its description in RNAcentral is "bacterial SSU rRNA". It matches the Rfam family "Archaeal small subunit ribosomal RNA", at positions 47 to 859 of the family's 1478-position model. Lineage: Archaea; Methanobacteriati; Methanobacteriota. The record is from RNAcentral.